GACGCCCUUAAUCUAGCCCUAACCUAUCGUCUCUAACCUAAAUUUCCCACCAUAAACUAAAACAUUCUAAAUCUCAAGUAAAUGCGAUUGAAAAAGAACUAGGAGCUUUAUCUAACAGUACCGCAAGGGAAAGAUGAAAUAGAAAUUAAAUAAAUAAUCAAGCAUUAAAAAGCAGAGACUUUAACUCGUACCUUUUGCAUUAUGGUCUAACUAGUCUAACCAGGCAAAAAGAUUUUUAGUCUGGCCCCCCGAAACUAAGUGAGCUACUCCGAGGCAACCUUAGAGUAAACCCGUCUCUGUAGCAAAAGAGUGGGACGACCUCCGAGUAGAGGUGACAUACUUAUCGAACUUAGUGAUAGCUGGUUACUCAAGAAACGAAUUUUAGUUCUAUCUUAAGGGCACUUUAACUUACCUUAACUGUAAGUAAACCCAAUCCCCUAAGACCUAUUCAAUUAGGGUACAGCCUUAUUGAAAAAGGACACAACCUAAAACUCAGGUUAACGUUUCUAUAGACCUAGAGCAAGUUGGCCUAAAAGCAGCCACCUUUAAAAUAGCGUCAAAGCUUUCUCUACUGUCUCCUCUAAUUCCUACCUCAUUACCGAACCCGAUAUCAAUAUUGAGUCUUUCUAUACCUCUAUAGAAGUGAUUAUGUUAGAACUAGUAACACAGAACCAUUUCUCUCUAUGUAAGUGUAAAUCAGAUCGAAUAAAUCACUGAUAUUUACUCAGUAGUGAAACUAUUGUAGCAACUUCACUAGAAAACCCUACAACUUCAUCCUGUUAACCUACCACAAGAACAUCAGAGAAAGAUUAAAAGACAAGGAAGGAAUUCGGCAAAUUUAAGUCUCGCCUGUUUACCAAAAACAUCGCCUUUUGCACACUAUAUCAGGUAAUGCCUGCCCAGUGACCAUGUGUUCAACGGCCGCGGUAUUCUGACCGCGCGAAGGUAGCGUAAUCACUUGUUUUCUAAAUAAAGACCAGUAUGAACGGCCACACGAGGACUUAACUGUCUCCCCUGUCCAAUCAGUGAAACUGAUCUCCUCGUGCAGAAGCGAGGAUGAACCCAUAAGACGAGAAGACCCUAUGGAGCUUUAAACUUAAUAUCAACUACCCCUUUGUCCUCCUCUAAGGAACUAACAGACCCCCUGAACUUGAUAUAAGUUUUAGGUUGGGGCGACCAUGGAGAAAAAAAUAACCUCCCUGAUGAUUUUUAACCAAGAGCCACAACUCUAAGUAUUAAGACUCUUAACUCCCAUUGACCCAUCUGAUGAUCAACGAACCAAGUUACCCUAGGGAUAACAGCGCAAUCCAUUUCAAGAGUCCCUAUCGACAAAUGGGUUUACGACCUCGAUGUUGGAUCAGGGCAUCCCAG
RNAcentral lists this ribosomal RNA (1371 nucleotides) under Xenophrys legkaguli. RNAcentral's name for it is "partial 16S ribosomal RNA". It matches the Rfam family "Bacterial large subunit ribosomal RNA", at positions 421 to 2550 of the family's 2925-position model. Lineage: Eukaryota; Metazoa; Chordata; Amphibia; Anura; Megophryidae. The record is from RNAcentral.